This 301-nucleotide ribosomal RNA is filed under the name uncultured bacterium. RNAcentral describes it as "partial 16S ribosomal RNA". It matches the Rfam family "Bacterial small subunit ribosomal RNA", at positions 509 to 807 of the family's 1533-position model. The record is from RNAcentral.
CAGCCGCCACGGUAAUACAGAGGGUGCGAGCGUUAAUCGGAUUUACUGGGCGUAAAGCGUGCGUAGGCGGUUAUAUAAGACAGAUGUGAAAUCCCCGGGCUCAACCUGGGAACUGCAUUUGUGACUGUAUAGCUAGAGUACGGCAGAGGGGGAUGGAAUUCCGCGUGUAGCAGUGAAAUGCGUAGAUAUGCGGAGGAACACCGAUGGCGAAGGCAAUCCCCUGGGCCUGUACUGACGCUCAUGCACGAAAGCGUGGGGAGCAAACAGGAUUAGAUACCCCUGUAGUCCCUGUCUCUUAUAC